GAGAUGACAGGGCACACAUGACCUCGGAACCCUGGUCCCCAGGCAGUUGGUUCUGAACCAAACCUGACCCAGCUCACUUGCCUGGUGGGCCUGGACCCGGCCCCACGUUUUCUUGCUGUUUGCCCAGGUCUCCCCGCAGUGGACCCAAAAAAGGUCCACGAAACUCGUGUCACACUCUGCCGAAAGGCAUGAGGAGCCUGUGCGUACGCCUCGGGCCAGCACCAGCACUGCCCCUGAGGUAACUAGGGGGGCCCUGGGGACAGGUCAGACCACGCCAGGGCUCUGAUGCCCCCACCCCUCCCUUCCCCCUGUGAGUGCGGGUGUGCGUGCGGUGAGAGUGAGUGUGUGCGUGCUCCAGGAAGGAGGGUCUGGCCCACCCAGGAGUCUGCUCAUGUCUACACCAGAACCAGCCUGGCUGGUGGUGGGACCCAAACCGUCAUGGCUGCUCCCUCUUGCCCCAGCUGGUUGCUACCCAGCAGGUGUGUCUGUUUACUCCCAGGAGGUCUUUUGUGUCCAGGAAGGUGAAGAGAUCCAGAGAGUGCAAUUCCCCGACUGUCCUCCCACAGCCCAGUGUGGGAUCUGUCCCAGCACAGAGCCCAGGUUGAAGUGCACCUGCAACUUUGAGAUUGGGGCACAUGUCCAAAGGAACUGGCUGCAGUACCCGAAAUCCCUGGAGGAGCCAUCCGAGGGACGUGACUUCCAUGACCGUCCUUGGACAACCUGCUGACCAUGCUGCAGGCCACUCUUGGCUGGAGCCUGCAGCCUGCAUGGGGCAGUCCCGAUGCCAGUGCACAUGGCGGGGAGCCUAGCGGCAGCUGGCUUUUGCUCUCCUCCCCACCCAUGCACCCUGGGCUCUUGAAACAGAAGAGGGUGCUCUCCAGACCACGGACCAGUUGAGCGCUAGGCUGCGAAGCUGCCUGAAGGCUCUGGAGCACCAGUUUGAUCCCAGCCACCGGUGAAGGUCCCACAUGGCGCACAGACCUCUCCUGCCGCCCGCUGCUCCCCUCAGCCGUGUAUUUCGUCAGUCUGCCUGUUCUGUUCUCCACUCUGGCUGUGGUGAAUUCUCUCACCCUCCUGCACUUCUGAUUGUACCUAGUGCUUGCAUAAAUAAAUAAAUAAAUAAAUCUUUUUUAAAAAAUACCUUUCUCUUUAGUGGAGAAAAAAAAAAAAAUAAAGGUAAACCCACGAUGAGGCACCACUUCAUGCCCAAGAGAAAAGCCCAUCUUGAAAUAAAAAAAGACAUCCCCUGCUCAUGGAUUGGAAGAAUAAACAUUAUUAAAAUGGCCAUCCUACCAAAAGCAAUUUACAGAUUCAAUGCAAUUCCAAUCAAAAUUUCAAUGACAUUCUUCAAAGAAAUAGAACAAUUAUUGAUGAAAUUCAUAUGGAAUCACCAAAAACCCCAAAUAGCCAAAGCUCUCCUGAAAUAAAAAAGAAGGGAAUGGAGGCAUCUCACUCCCAGACUUCAAACUAUACUACAAAGCCAUAAUCAUCAGAACUGCAUAGUAUUGGACCAAGAACAGACACACGGACCAAUGGAACCAAAUAGAAAAUCCAGAAAUAAACCCACAGAUUUAUGGUCAGCUAAUCUUUGACAAAGGAGCAAAGAAUAUGCACUGGAGCAAAGAAAGUUUGUUCAAUAAAUGGUGCUGGGAAAACUGGGUCACUACAUGCAAAAGAAUGAAGCUUGACUACUACCUCACACCAUGCACAAAAACCAACUCAAAAUGGAUUAAAGAACUAGACAUAAGACCUGAAAAUACAUAGAAGGAAAUACAGGUGAAACACUACAUGACAUGUAUCUCAAAGACAUCUUUACAGACACAUCACCCAAAGCAGUGAGAGUGAAAGCAAAGAUUAACAGCUGGGACGACAUCAAAUUAAAGAGUUUCUGCACAGCAAAAGAGACAAUAACCAAAACAAAGAGAAAUCCCACCAACUGGGAGAAAAUUUUUGCACACAACACUAAUGAUAAAGGACUGAUCACAAAAAUCUACAAAGAGCUGAUGAGACUCAACAAAGCAAAGAAAAUAAUCCAGUGAAAAAAUGUGCAGAAGAGCUAAAAAGAAACUUCUUCAAAGAGGAAAUGCAAAUGGCCAACAGGCAUAUGAAAAAAUGUUCAACAUCACUUGUAAUCAGGGAAAUGCAAGCCAAAACUACAAUGAGAUACCAUCUUACACCAGUGAGAAUGGCAUAUAUUAAAAAACUAGCAACAACAAAUGUUGGUGAGGUUGUGGAGAAAAAGGAACUCUCCUGCAUUGCUGGUGGGAGUGCAAACUGGUCCAACCACUAUGGAGAGCUGUGUGGAGAUUACUUGACCUACUAAAGAUAGAGCUUCCAUAGGAUCCAGCAAUUCCACUCCUAGGUAUUUACCCAAAUGACACAGAAACAGUAAUUCCAAAGGUCACCUGCACACCUUUGUUUAUAGCAGUACUAUUUACAAUAGCUAAGCUAUGGAAACAACCCAAAUACCCAAAAAUAGA
Long non-coding RNA from Talpa occidentalis (Iberian mole), 2480 nucleotides. RefSeq lists it as uncharacterized. NCBI's taxonomy places the organism in Eukaryota, Metazoa, Chordata, Mammalia, Eulipotyphla, Talpidae. The record is from RefSeq and is a predicted model, not a curated record. The transcript is spliced from 3 exons.